UUGGAUUUCAUUCUGACGCUU
This 21-nucleotide non-coding RNA is filed under the name Rattus norvegicus (Norway rat). The record is from RNAcentral. Lineage: Eukaryota; Metazoa; Chordata; Mammalia; Rodentia; Muridae.